RNAcentral lists this long non-coding RNA (1156 nucleotides) under Equus caballus (horse). RNAcentral's name for it is "lncRNA (ENSECAG00000059642.1)". The stretch from base 211 to 304 matches the Rfam family "mir-802 microRNA precursor family". The record is from RNAcentral. Lineage: Eukaryota; Metazoa; Chordata; Mammalia; Perissodactyla; Equidae.
GUCUAGCCCUUCAGUGGUGUUUCUUAGACCUGCACUGCCUCCACAACCGCACUGGAAGGAGAGAAGCGAACUCAGGACUCCAGCCCCAUGAAAGCCUUCUCAGGAAGAUAUGGCCACUCAGCCUCUGGGGUUGAUUCAGAAGAAGGUGCCAUAUGCCCCUUGUGUGGCUUGGUGCAUGUUUUCCAGGCCCAACUCUUGAUCACCAUCAGACUUCUAUUAUUUGCAAUCAGUAACAAAGAUUCAUCCUUGUGUCCAUCAAGCAACAAGGAGAAUCUUUGUCACUUAGUGUAAUUAAUAGCUGCGCUUCGCGUGGGAAGACGAAAGAAGGAUGCCUUUCGCACAUAGACUUGGGUGAAUUCAGAACAGGCUUCACGGAUCCUUGCUGCCUUUUGACCAACUACAAGGCCAGAACUCCAAGAAGUGGGCAGAUGGCUCCCUCUUUUCUCUCCAGUCCUCAUCGGUAAACAGCCUUCAAAAGCAUUCUCGUUGGCUCAAAAAUAUCUACAAACAAAAAGUAUGAAACGAGCAUCUUGGUGCAAAUGGUGCAUCGCAUCAUCUUGACACUGAAUCCUCUUCUUCCUGUUGCUGAUGGGACAUCCACUGAGUGAGGCAAGCACAGUUCUACACUAAGCCCCAAGGAGGAGUUCCUUGGGAUUGAAAUUCAGUGUUAUAAAACUCAAAACGCCUUUGACAUAGUGGACUAUGUUCCUGACCAAGUUACUAAACAAUGUUUUCUAAUAAGAAUAAUAGUGAGGGUAAUAAUAAUAAUUAGUAUCAUUCUAUUCUAAACCUUUUAAAUGUAUUAACUCAUUUAACCCUCACAACUUUAUGAGAGGUCUUAUGAUUAUUUCCAGUUUACAACAGAAGAAACCAAAGCUCAGAGAGACUAAGUCAUUUGUCCAAGGUCACAUAGCUGGUAAGCUGCCAAAUUCAAAGCCAGGAGAUCUGACUCCGAAGUCCACAUUUUUAAUAACCACACUAGACUUCCAAACUAUACCUUCCUAGGACUCAGACAGCAGUCUCUAUCUGCUAGGCAGUUGGAAUUGUUCUAACUAUCCUAACUGACUGGUUGGGACAUCACUGUAGACGCCACAUUGUUUUUGUUUAAAAUCCCAUUACCUGAGUUUCAUGAGGCAAACACCUGUUGAAAAGUCAG